UACAGGGUGCGAUAAUUCAAUAUUUUUAGCCGUACCUGACUGGUACUCCGACAACUUUUGCCGCGUACCUGGUCUGGUACAAACUUAAGAGUCAAGACGUACCUAAGACUACUGUACUUCCGAGUCAUGCGUUUUUAUACCUACGUAUAGUUCAUUGGUCCAAAAGCAAGAAAUGUAUGGGCAAUUUUGUACAAAUGAAUCUUUAAUUACGGUAUUUGUACAACAUAAUAUAACAGUUUUCAAAGCAUCGACGUUGUGACUCGAAUGCCAUCGCUCAUUUACAGUGGAUUUACCGAGGGUGCUAACAGUCUGACCUCAGCUACAUACAGUGUAGUUUUCCUCACUGGACCUAAAAAAAACCUGUGGUUCCGGUUUCAUAUCGCGAAAAAAUUAGGGUAAGUAGGUCGGAAAUAAUUUUUUUUUAAAUAUUUUUUUCAUGGUUUUGGCGGUUUUUUGCUGGGCGAUUUUCAGUAGAGUCCCGACAUAACUAGAGAUGCGUAGUUCGUACGGAUGAUUUUAGGCAAUUUGGUUCAAUAAUUAUUGUGACAACAGACGCCAUUUUGGCACGCUGUACGAGCAGCCCGCAACCACCCGGAGAAAAUAGCGUCGCACAGUCAAUCGUGUUGAUAAAAUAAUAGGGUGGGCAGAAAAAAAUAGGGUCGGUCGGGAAACCGGAACCACAGGUAUUUUAUUUUUAGGCCUUGGUAUGGCAUUGACAAUUAAGCCCAGGUCACACCACACAACGAUGAUACGAUAACUUCUAAACACGCGAUGAUUGGUAAAAAAAUUACGUUGGUGUCCACACUACAACAAACACGAUAAAAUUAUCGGCGUUUGACGAUAACGAUUUUAAAAUCGCUCACCCGAGUGAUUUUUUUUCAGUCGGAUGAUGACGAUAAAUUUUUUGAUCAAGCGCAAAGAUUUUUUGGCUUUUUUCAUCCCAAAAUAUGUCGGAAGCGUGGAAUUUACAUGUACAGCUAAAGUCCUUCACGAUUUUGAAUACUUUGGCAGGUUUGCUUGUUAUUGCUAGAAGGUAAUGUAAGUACGCGAAUAGCAAAUUCCCGCGUACCUACGUGGUACCUGCCUAAAAACAAGGAAGUACCAGACCAUAAAUUUGGCGUACCUCCGGUACGUUGGUACGCGAAUUAUCGCAC
This is a non-coding RNA of Paramuricea clavata, 1154 nucleotides long. The record is from the annotation of a GenBank genome assembly. NCBI's taxonomy places the organism in Eukaryota, Metazoa, Cnidaria, Anthozoa, Malacalcyonacea, Plexauridae.